This 253-nucleotide ribosomal RNA is filed under the name uncultured bacterium. RNAcentral's name for it is "partial 16S ribosomal RNA". It matches the Rfam family "Bacterial small subunit ribosomal RNA", at positions 524 to 776 of the family's 1533-position model. The record is from RNAcentral.
UACGAAGGGGGCUAGCGUUGCUCGGAAUCACUGGGCGUAAAGCGCACGUAGGCGGCUUUCUAAGUCAGGGGUGAAAUCCUGGAGCUCAACUCCAGAACUGCCUUUGAUACUGGAGAGCUUGAGUCCGGGAGAGGUGAGUGGAACUCCGAGUGUAGAGGUGAAAUUCGUAGAUAUUCGCAAGAACACCAGUGGCGAAGGCGGCUCACUGGCCCGAUACUGACGCUGAGGUGCGAAAGCGUGGGGAGCAAACAGG